Molecule: transfer RNA, 94 nt
Filed under: Thermus composti
Lineage: Bacteria; Thermotogati; Deinococcota; Deinococci; Thermales; Thermaceae
Description: tRNA-Gly
Source: RNAcentral
UGUAGGCCAGGUUGGCCUGGGCCAGGGCGUAGGCCUGCCGGGCCUGGGUUAGGUCCAGGAUCAGGGUGGUGGGGUCCUGUUCCUUGGCCUUCAA